This 875-nucleotide ribosomal RNA is filed under the name Kosakonia sp. RNAcentral's name for it is "bacterial SSU rRNA". It matches the Rfam family "Bacterial small subunit ribosomal RNA", at positions 61 to 926 of the family's 1533-position model. Lineage: Bacteria; Pseudomonadati; Pseudomonadota; Gammaproteobacteria; Enterobacterales; Enterobacteriaceae. The record is from RNAcentral.
GUCGAACGGUAACAGGAAGCAGCUUGCUGCUUCGCUGACGAGUGGCGGACGGGUGAGUAAUGUCUGGGAAACUGCCUGAUGGAGGGGGAUAACUACUGGAAACGGUAGCUAAUACCGCAUAACGUCGCAAGACCAAAGAGGGGGACCUUCGGGCCUCUUGCCAUCAGAUGUGCCCAGAUGGGAUUAGCUAGUAGGUGGGGUAACGGCUCACCUAGGCGACGAUCCCUAGCUGGUCUGAGAGGAUGACCAGCCACACUGGAACUGAGACACGGUCCAGACUCCUACGGGAGGCAGCAGUGGGGAAUAUUGCACAAUGGGCGCAAGCCUGAUGCAGCCAUGCCGCGUGUAUGAAGAAGGCCUUCGGGUUGUAAAGUACUUUCAGCGGGGAGGAAGGCGAUGCGGUUAAUAACCGCGUCGAUUGACGUUACCCGCAGAAGAAGCACCGGCUAACUCCGUGCCAGGAGCGGCGGUAAUACGGAGGGUGCAAGCGUUAAUCGGAAUUACUGGGCGUAAAGCGCACGCAGGCGGUCUGUCAAGUCGGAUGUGAAAUCCCCGGGCUCAACCUGGGAACUGCAUCCGAAACUGGCAGGCUUGAGUCUCGUAGAGGGGGGUAGAAUUCCAGGUGUAGCGGUGAAAUGCGUAGAGAUCUGGAGGAAUACCGGUGGCGAAGGCGGCCCCCUGGACGAAGACUGACGCUCAGGUGCGAAAGCGUGGGGAGCAAACAGGAUUAGAUACCCUGGUAGUCCACGCCGUAAACGAUGUCGACUUGGAGGUUGUGCCCUUGAGGCGUGGCUUCCGGAGCUAACGCGUUAAGUCGACCGCCUGGGGAGUACGGCCGCAAGGUUAAAACUCAAAUGAAUUGACGGGGCCCGCAC